AGCAGCCGCGGUAAUUCCAGCUCCAAUAGCGUAUAUUAAAGUUGUUGCAGUUAAAAAGCUCGUAGUUGAAUUUCGGAAUCAGUACGCUGGUCGUGCCUUCGGUAUGUACUGGUGUCACUGGUUUCUCCCUUCUGAAGAACCAUCAUGCCAUUCACUUGGUGUGGUGGGAAAUCAGGACUGUUACUUUGAAAAAUUGAGUGUUUAAAGCAGGCUCGCGCUUGAAUACAUUAGCAUGGAAUAAUGAAAUAGGACGUUAAUCCUAUUUUGUUGGUUUCUAGGAUCGACGUAAUGAUUAAUAGGGAUAGUUGGGGGCAUUAGUAUUCAAUUGUCAGAGGUGAAAUUCUUGGAUUUAUUGAAGACUAACUACUGCGAAAGCAUUUGCCAAGGAUGUUUUCAUUAAUCAAGAACGAAAGUUAGGGGAUCGAAGACGAUCAGAUACCGUCGUAGUCUUAACCAUAAACUAUGCCGACUA
This 472-nucleotide small RNA is filed under the name uncultured Glomus. RNAcentral's name for it is "SSU rRNA". It matches the Rfam family "Eukaryotic small subunit ribosomal RNA", at positions 569 to 1048 of the family's 1831-position model. The record is from RNAcentral. Lineage: Eukaryota; Fungi; Glomeromycota; Glomeromycetes; Glomerales; Glomeraceae.